CCUACGGGGGGCAGCAGUGGGGAAUUUUCCGCAAUGGGCGAAAGCCUGACGGAGCAACGCCGCGUGAGGGAGGAAGGUCUUUGGAUUGUAAACCUCUUUUCUCAAGGAAGAAGUUCUGACGGUACUUGAGGAAUCAGCCUCGGCUAACUCCGUGCCAGCAGCCGCGGUAAUACGGGGGAGGCAAGCGUUAUCCGGAAUUAUUGGGCGUAAAGCGUCCGCAGGUGGUCAGCCAAGUCUGCUGUCAAAUCAGGUUGCUUAACGACCUAAAGGCGGUGGAAACUGGCAGACUAGAGAGCAGUAGGGGUAGCAGGAAUUCCCAGUGUAGCGGUGAAAUGCGUAGAGAUUGGGAAGAACAUCGGUGGCGAAAGCGUGCUGCUGGGCUGUAUCUGACACUCAGGGACGAAAGCUAGGGGAGCGAAAGGGAUUA
This 427-nucleotide ribosomal RNA is filed under the name uncultured bacterium. RNAcentral describes it as "bacterial SSU rRNA". It matches the Rfam family "Bacterial small subunit ribosomal RNA", at positions 338 to 780 of the family's 1533-position model. The record is from RNAcentral.